AGGGGGAUAACCCGUCGAAAGACGGACUAAUACCGCGUACACUCCACUUUGGGCAUCCAAAGUAGAGGAAAUGAAAUUCGCUGUGAGAUAGGCAUGCGUCCCAUUAGCUAGUUGGUGAGGUAACGGCUCACCAAGGCGACGAUGGGUAGGGGAACUGAGAGGUUGAACCCCCACACUGGUACUGAGACACGGACCAGACUCCUACGGGAGGCAGCAGUGAGGAAUAUUGGUCAAUGGGCGAGAGCCUGAACCAGCCAAGWCGCGUGAAGGAUGACUGUCUUAUGGAUUGUAAACUUCUUUUAUACGGGAAUAACAAGAGUYACGUGUGRCUCCCUGCAUGUACCGUAUGAAUAAGCAUCGGCUAACUCCGUGCCAGCAGCCGCGGUAAUACGGAGGAUGCGAGCGUUAUCCGGAUUUAUUGGGUUUAAAGGGUGCGUAGGCGGCCUGUUAAGUCAGCGGUGAAAUCUAGGAGCUUAACUCCUAAAUUGCCAUUGAUACUGGCGGGCUUGAGUGUAGAUGAGGUAGGCGGAAUGCGUGGUGUAGCGGUGGAAUGCAUAGAUAUCACGCAGAACUCCGAUUGCGAAGGCAGCUUACUAAGGUACAACUGACGCUGA
RNAcentral lists this ribosomal RNA (614 nucleotides) under uncultured bacterium. RNAcentral describes it as "bacterial SSU rRNA". It matches the Rfam family "Bacterial small subunit ribosomal RNA", at positions 137 to 749 of the family's 1533-position model. The record is from RNAcentral.